Non-coding RNA from Misgurnus anguillicaudatus (oriental weatherfish), 544 nucleotides. The record is from RefSeq and is a predicted model, not a curated record. NCBI's taxonomy places the organism in Eukaryota, Metazoa, Chordata, Actinopteri, Cypriniformes, Cobitidae.
UUGCUUUAGUUAAAUAUUGAUUUUGUUGAAUGCUUAAAGUGUACUUUUUUGUGAUUUGUUUUGUUUUAGUGCUUAUGUUUUUACCAAAUACUUUUAUUUUGAAAUAUGAGAGGAAGUGCGGAGGCGCAGUGUGUGUAUUUUCGCGCACUUUCUAAGGGAAGCGUCUGAUUAACGCUACCGGAGACGUAAGGUGAUCGUUUUGUGCAUGCUGUUAAAAUAGUUUAUUUCUCCAACUAAGCUCCUGGCCGACAAAGGGCACAAGUUUCAGAUGUCAAUGUGACUCCUUCACUGUCCAGCCACACAAGUUCAGGUUCAGGGUACCAGCCUUUAGUUUCACAUUGUAGAUGAAGUCCACCAGCACCAUCAAAUCCAUAUAUAGUAAUGAGUGGAGGACCUCCUACAGCUACAAGUCAGGGAGGUGAACUACCGAAUCUUUGAAAUCAAGUCUAAACCACUCGACUUUCAUGUCUACAGCACUGAUGUUGGGUCUGAGAGAACAGGGCAGAAUCACAUCUUCACCAGAUACAGUGAGGAGAGAAUCUAC